GCCGGGUGUGGUGGCUCACGCCUGUAAUCCCAGCACUUUGGGAGGCCGAGGCAGGCGGAUCACCUGAGGUCGGGAGUUCAAGACCAGCCUGACCAACAUGGUGAAACCCCGUCUCUA
Molecule: unclassified non-coding RNA, 117 nt
Organism: Papio anubis (olive baboon)
Lineage: Eukaryota; Metazoa; Chordata; Mammalia; Primates; Cercopithecidae
Rfam family: Metazoan signal recognition particle RNA
About the family: The signal recognition particle (SRP) is a universally conserved ribonucleoprotein. It is involved in the co-translational targeting of proteins to membranes.
Source: Ensembl